AUUGAACGCUGGCGGCAGGCCUAACACAUGCAAGUCGAACGGUAGCACAGAGAGCUUGCUCUCGGGUGACGAGUGGCGGACGGGUGAGUAAUGUCUGGGAAACUGCCCGAUGGAGGGGGAUAACUACUGGAAACGGUAGCUAAUACCGCAUAACGUCGCAAGACCAAAGUGGGGGACCUUCGGGCCUCACACCACCGGAUGUGCCCAGAUGGGAUUAGCUAGUAGGUGGGGUAAUGGCUCACCUAGGCGACGAUCCCUAGCUGGUCUGAGAGGAUGACCAGCCACACUGGAACUGAGACACGGUCCAGACUCCUACGGGGGGCAGCAGUGGGGAAUAUUGCACAAUGGGCGCAAGCCUGAUGCAGCCAUGCCGCGUGUAUGAAGAAGGCCUUCGGGUUGUAAAGUACUUUCAGCGGGGAGGAAGGCGGUGGAGUUAAUAACUUCACCGAUUGACGUUACCCGCAGAAGAAGCACCGGCUAACUCCGUGCCAGCCGCCGCCGUAA
This 504-nucleotide ribosomal RNA is filed under the name uncultured bacterium. RNAcentral describes it as "partial 16S ribosomal RNA". It matches the Rfam family "Bacterial small subunit ribosomal RNA", at positions 30 to 523 of the family's 1533-position model. The record is from RNAcentral.